CCUACGGGGUGCACCAGUGGGGAAUCUUGCGCAAUGGGCGAAAGCCUGACGCAGCGACGCCGCGUGGGUGACGAAGGCCUUCGGGUCGUAAAACCCUGUUGCAGGGGACGAAGGAAGUGACGGUACCCUGCCAGAAAGCCCCGGCUAACUACGUGCCAGCAGCCGCGGUAAAACGUAGGGGGCGAGCGUUGUCCGGAAUUACUGGGCGUAAAGGGCUCGUAGGCGGUAACUCAAGUCAGUUGUGAAAACCGACGGCUUAACCGGAGGAUUGCAGUUGAUACUGGGUUACUUGAGGCAAGGAGAGGAAGGUGGAAUUCCCGGUGUAGCGGUGAUAUGCGUAGAUAUCGGGAGGAACCCCAGUGGCGAAGGCGGCCUUCUGGUCUUGACCUGACGCUGAGGAGCGAAAGCCAGGGUAGCGAACGGGAUUAGAUACCCUUGUA
Molecule: ribosomal RNA, 440 nt
Filed under: uncultured bacterium
Lineage: Bacteria
Description: bacterial SSU rRNA
Rfam family: Bacterial small subunit ribosomal RNA
Source: RNAcentral